Molecule: ribosomal RNA, 497 nt
Filed under: uncultured bacterium
Lineage: Bacteria
Description: partial 16S ribosomal RNA
Rfam family: Bacterial small subunit ribosomal RNA
Source: RNAcentral
GAUGAACGCUGGCGGCGUGCCUAAUACAUGCAAGUCGAGCGAACGGACGAGAAGCUUGCUUCUCUGAUGUUAGCGGCGGACGGGUGAGUAACACGUGGAUAACCUACCUAUUAGACUGGGGUAACUUCGGGAAACCGGAGCUACUACCGGCUCAUAUUUUCAACCGCAUGGAUCAAAAGUGCAUGACGGUCUUGCUGUCACUUAUAGCUGGAUCCGGGUUGCAUUAGCUAGUUGGUAAGGUAACGGCUCACCAAGGCAACGAUGCGUAGCCGACCUGAGAGGGUGAUCAGCCACACUGGAACUGAGACACGGUCCAGACUCCUACGGGAGGCAGCAGUGGGGAAUCUUCCACAAUGGGCGAAAGCCUGACGGAGCAACGCCGCGUGAGUGAUGAAGGUCUUCGGAUCGUAAAACUCUGUUAUUAGGGAAGAACAUAUGUGUAAGUAACUGUGCACAUCUUGACGGUACCUAAACAGAAAGCCACGGCUAACUACGUG